UUUGAAAAGAGCCCAAUCAACUAUACCAAACCGAACCAAGCUCUUAAAUCAAAAUCGACCCGAGCUAAUAAACUGACUAAACCGAUCUACUAUGAAGCCCUAAUCUUCAAUCGGAAAAUCCAAAAAAGCCGCCGGCCAACAGAUCUGCGAAUAUUCUUCGGAAUAGGACUUCCGACGAGUCUGGACAAUGCGAGCCGAACGGAGAUGGUAACACAGAUUUCGUCGCCAUCCCACGACUGUAGAGCAAUAUAUGAUUGAUUGUUGAUUUUUAUGGUCUGUGUGUGGGUUUGUUGAUCUAAAUCUUAUUGUAUUGUAAGAUCAAAAGCCAAGAAACGAAAGAUCCGGAGUAAGCUCAACAUCAUAGCAAAAAUGUUGCUCGUGAGGAGGACUAAGAUUUGGCUUUGAGCUUUGAUUCUACGACGUUUUACUCGCUAUGAAUCUAAACAUUUUGUAAGUAAAGCGUGAAGCUUAUGUCGAAAUCAUAUUAUAGCUACUAAAAUAAGUAGAAUGUCUAAUCUCUUAGAUCAACAAUAUAAUAUUAAUAGGCUACAUCUUUAUAAAAAUUAAGGCUAGUAUUUA
This 579-nucleotide small RNA is filed under the name Arabidopsis thaliana (thale cress). RNAcentral describes it as "ATSL136350". The record is from RNAcentral. Lineage: Eukaryota; Viridiplantae; Streptophyta; Magnoliopsida; Brassicales; Brassicaceae.